Myotis lucifugus (little brown bat) is the source of this 76-nucleotide non-coding RNA. Lineage: Eukaryota; Metazoa; Chordata; Mammalia; Chiroptera; Vespertilionidae. The record is from Rfam.
GGCGGUUCUCAGGUAGCGCACCCCGGCAUCGGGCUCCCUCCUCUCUGGUUCCAGGGUGCAUCACCCGAGAACUGCG